AUUGAACGCUGGCGGCAGGCCUAACACAUGCAAGUCGAACGGUAACAGGAAGAAGCUUGCUUCUUUGCUGACGAGUGGCGGACGGGUGAGUAAUGUCUGGGAAACUUCCUGAUGGAGGGGGAUAACUACUGGAAACGGUAGCUAAUACCGCAUAACGUCGCAAGACCAAAGAGGGGGACCUUCGGGCCUCUUGCCAUCGGAUGUGCCCAGAUGGGAUUAGCUAGUAGGUGGGGUAACGGCUCACCUAGGCGACGAUCCCUAGCUGGUCUGAGAGGAUGACCAGCCACACUGGAACUGAGACACGGUCCAGACUCCUACGGGAGGCAGCAGUGGGGAAUAUUGCACAAAGGGCGCAAGCCUGAUGCAGCCAUGCCGCGUGUAUGAAGAAGGCCUUCGGGUUGUAAAGUACUUUCAGCGGGGAGGAAGGGAGUAAAGUUAAUACCUUUGCUCAUUGACGUUACCCGCAGAAGAAGCACCGGCUAACUCCGUG
RNAcentral lists this ribosomal RNA (490 nucleotides) under uncultured bacterium. Its description in RNAcentral is "partial 16S ribosomal RNA". It matches the Rfam family "Bacterial small subunit ribosomal RNA", at positions 30 to 507 of the family's 1533-position model. The record is from RNAcentral.